Molecule: ribosomal RNA, 166 nt
Filed under: Pseudomonas aeruginosa
Lineage: Bacteria; Pseudomonadati; Pseudomonadota; Gammaproteobacteria; Pseudomonadales; Pseudomonadaceae
Description: partial 23S ribosomal RNA
Rfam family: Bacterial large subunit ribosomal RNA
Source: RNAcentral
GUUAUAUGGUCAAGUGAAGAAGCGCAUACGGUGGAUGCCUGGCAGUCAGAGGCGAUGAAAGACGUGGUAGCCUGCGAAAAGCUUCGGGGAGUCGGCAAACAGACUUUGAUCCGGAGAUCUCUGAAUGGGGGAACCCACCUAGGAUAACCUAGGUAUCUUGUACUGA